Molecule: ribosomal RNA, 468 nt
Filed under: uncultured bacterium
Lineage: Bacteria
Description: partial 16S ribosomal RNA
Rfam family: Bacterial small subunit ribosomal RNA
Source: RNAcentral
GACGAACGCUGGCGGCGUGCUUAACACAUGCAAGUCGAACGGUGAGCCCCCGGCUUCUUGGGGUGUACCAGUGGGAAACGGGUGGGUAACACGUGAGCAACCUGCCCCAGCUUCGGGAAUAGGCGCUGGAAAGGCCGCCUAAUACUGGAUACGAGAUAAAGCCCCUUGGUAUUGGUCUGAAAAGUUUUUCGGUUUGGGCUGGGCCGGCGGCAUAUCAGCUGGUUGGUGAGGUAGUGGCCCACAAAGGCGACGACGGGUAGCCGGCCUGGGAGGGCGACCGGCCACACUGGGACUGAGACAGGGCCCAGACUCCUACGGGAGGAAGCAGUGGGGAAUAUUGCACAAUGGGCGAAGGGCUGAUGCAGCGACGCCGCGUGGGGGAUGACGGCCUUCGGGUUGUAAACCUCUUUCAGCAGGGAAGAAGCGAAAGUGACGGUACCUGCAGAAGAAGCACCGGCUAACUACGUG